Molecule: ribosomal RNA, 206 nt
Filed under: uncultured bacterium
Lineage: Bacteria
Description: partial 16S ribosomal RNA
Rfam family: Bacterial small subunit ribosomal RNA
Source: RNAcentral
AGAUUGCAGGCUGCAACUCGCCUGUAUGAAGUUGGAAUUGCUAGUAAUCGCGGAUCAGCAUGCCGCGGUGAAUACGUUCCCGGGCCUUGUACACACCGCCCGUCACACCAUGAGAGCCGGUAAUACCCGAAGUCAGUGUCCUAACCGCAAGGAGGGAGCUGCCGAAGGUAGGAUUGGCGAUUGGGGUGAAGUCGUAACAAGGUAAC